This 420-nucleotide transfer RNA is filed under the name Xanthomonas citri pv. malvacearum. Its description in RNAcentral is "partial 16S-23S ribosomal RNA intergenic spacer". The stretch from base 191 to 264 matches the Rfam family "tRNA". The record is from RNAcentral. Lineage: Bacteria; Pseudomonadati; Pseudomonadota; Gammaproteobacteria; Lysobacterales; Lysobacteraceae.
UUGAGCAUGACGUCAUCGUCCUGUCGGGCGUCCUCACAAAUUACCUGCAUUCAGAGAUGCGUAUCGGCACAGGCCGGUAUGCGAAAGUCCCAUCAUGGGGCCUUAGCUCAGCUGGGAGAGCACCUGCUUUGCAAGCAGGGGGUCGUCGGUUCGAUCCCGACAGGCUCCACCAUUUGAGUGAAACGACUUUGGGUCUGUAGCUCAGGUGGUUAGAGCGCACCCCUGAUAAGGGUGAGGUCGGUGGUUCGAGUCCUCCCAGACCCACCACUCUGAAUGUAGUGCACACUUAAGAAUUUAUAUGGAUCAGCGUUGAGGCUGAGACAUGUUCUUUUAUAACUUGUGACGUAGCGAGCGUUUGAGAUAUCUAUCUAAACGUGCCGUUGAGGCUAAGGCGGGGACUUCGAGUCCCUAAAUAAUUGA